UACAGAGGUCUCAAGCGUUGUUCGGAUUCAUUGGGCGUAAAGCGUGCGCAGGCGGUUCGUUGUGUCGGCGGUGAAAGCCCCGGGCUUAACCUGGGAAUGGCCGUUGAAACUGGCGAACUGGAGUGUGGCAGAGGGGGGUGGAAUUCCGCGUGUAGCAGUGAAAUGCGUAGAGAUGCGGAGGAACACCGAUGGCGAAGGCAGCCCCCUGGGCUAACACUGACGCUCAGGCACGAAAGCCAGGGGAGCAAACGGG
Molecule: ribosomal RNA, 253 nt
Filed under: uncultured bacterium
Lineage: Bacteria
Description: partial 16S ribosomal RNA
Rfam family: Bacterial small subunit ribosomal RNA
Source: RNAcentral